RNAcentral lists this ribosomal RNA (1528 nucleotides) under Salmonella enterica subsp. enterica. RNAcentral's name for it is "bacterial LSU rRNA". It matches the Rfam family "Bacterial large subunit ribosomal RNA", at positions 1 to 1566 of the family's 2925-position model. The record is from RNAcentral. Lineage: Bacteria; Pseudomonadati; Pseudomonadota; Gammaproteobacteria; Enterobacterales; Enterobacteriaceae.
GGGUUGUGAGGUUAAGCGACUAAGCGUACACGGUGGAUGCCCUGGCAGUCAGAGGCGAUGAAGGGCGUGCUAAUCUGCGAUAAGCGCCGGUAAGGUGAUAUGAACCGUUAUAACCGGCGAUACCCGAAUGGGGAAACCCAGUGUGACUCGUCACACUAUCAUUAACUGAAUCCAUAGGUUAAUGAGGCGAACCGGGGGAACUGAAACAUCUAAGUACCCCGAGGAAAAGAAAUCAACCGAGAUUCCCCCAGUAGCGGCGAGCGAACGGGGAGGAGCCCAGAGCCUGAAUCAGCAUGUGUGUUAGUGGAAGCGUCUGGAAAGGCGCGCGAUACAGGGUGACAGCCCCGUACACAAAAGCGCAUGUGCUGUGAGCUCGAUGAGUAGGGCGGGACACGUGGUAUCCUGUCUGAAUAUGGGGGGACCAUCCUCCAAGGCUAAAUACUCCUGACUGACCGAUAGUGAACCAGUACCGUGAGGGAAAGGCGAAAAGAACCCCGGCGAGGGGAGUGAAAAAGAACCUGAAACCGUGUACGUACAAGCAGUGGGAGCACCCUGUGUGACUGCGUACCUUUUGUAUAAUGGGUCAGCGACUUAUAUUCUGUAGCAAGGUUAACCGAAUAGGGGAGCCGGAGGGAAACCGAGUCUUAAUUGGGCGUUAAGUUGCAGGGUAUAGACCCGAAACCCGGUGAUCUAGCCAUGGGCAGGUUGAAGGUUGGGUAACACUAACUGGAGGACCGAACCGACUAAUGUUGAAAAAUUAGCGGAUGACCUGUGGCUGGGGGUGAAAGGCCAAUCAAACCGGGAGAUAGCUGGUUCUCCCCGAAAGCUAUUUAGGUAGCGCCUCGUGAAUUCAUCUCCGGGGGUAGAGCACUGUUUCGGCUAGGGGGCCAUCCCGGCUUACCAACCCGAUGCAAACUGCGAAUACCGGAGAAUGUUAUCACGGGAGACACACGGCGGGUGCUAACGUCCGUCGUGAAGAGGGAAACAACCCAGACCGCCAGCUAAGGUCCCAAAGUCAUGGUUAAGUGGGAAACGAUGUGGGAAGGCCCAGACAGCCAGGAUGUUGGCUUAGAAGCAGCCAUCAUUUAAAGAAAGCGUAAUAGCUCACUGGUCGAGUCGGCCUGCGCGGAAGAUGUAACGGGGCUAAACCAUGCACCGAAGCUGCGGCAGCGACACUGAUGUGUUGUUGGGUAGGGGAGCGUUCUGUAAGCCUGUGAAGGUGGCCUGUGAGGGUUGCUGGAGGUAUCAGAAGUGCGAAUGCUGACAUAAGUAACGAUAAAGCGGGUGAAAAGCCCGCUCGCCGGAAGACCAAGGGUUCCUGUCCAACGUUAAUCGGGGCAGGGUGAGUCGACCCCUAAGGCGAGGCCGAAAGGCGUAGUCGAUGGGAAACGGGUUAAUAUUCCCGUACUUGGUGUUACUGCGAAGGGGGGACGGAGAAGGCUAUGUUGGCCGGGCGACGGUUGUCCCGGUUUAAGCGUGUAGGUGUGUGUUCCAGGUAAAUCCGGUUCACUUUAACACUGAGGCGUGA